CACGCCGUAAACGAUGAAUACUAGGUGUCGGGCGUCAAAACUCGGUGCCGCAGCAAACGCAUUAAGUAUUCCGCCUGGGGAGUACGCACGCAAGUGUGAAACUCAAAGGAAUUGACGGGGACCCGCACAAGCAGCGGAGCAUGUGGUUUAAUUCGAAGCAACGCGAAGAACCUUACCAGGUCUUGACAUCUCUCUGACCGAUCCUUAGCCGGAUCUUUCCUUCGGGACAGAGAUGACAGGUGG
RNAcentral lists this ribosomal RNA (243 nucleotides) under uncultured bacterium. RNAcentral's name for it is "partial 16S ribosomal RNA". It matches the Rfam family "Bacterial small subunit ribosomal RNA", at positions 796 to 1041 of the family's 1533-position model. The record is from RNAcentral.